GGCUGGUCCGAAGGUGGUGAGUUAUCUCACUGGAUUGUUCAGUCGGUUACAGACUGAACUCCUUGUUCUACUACUUCCCCCUCUACUUGCUACUGCACUUGACUAGUCUUAA
RNAcentral lists this Y RNA (112 nucleotides) under Prolemur simus (greater bamboo lemur). Its description in RNAcentral is "Y RNA (ENSPSMG00000005418.1)". It matches the Rfam family "Y RNA". Rfam says of the family: Y RNAs are components of the Ro ribonucleoprotein particle (Ro RNP), in association with Ro60 and La proteins. The Y RNAs and Ro60 and La proteins are well conserved, but the function of the Ro RNP is not known. The record is from Rfam by way of RNAcentral. Lineage: Eukaryota; Metazoa; Chordata; Mammalia; Primates; Lemuridae.